RNAcentral lists this ribosomal RNA (497 nucleotides) under uncultured bacterium. RNAcentral's name for it is "partial 16S ribosomal RNA". It matches the Rfam family "Bacterial small subunit ribosomal RNA", at positions 28 to 507 of the family's 1533-position model. The record is from RNAcentral.
GAUGACCGCUGGCGGCGUGCCUAAUACAUGCAAGUCGAGCGAACGGACGAGAAGCUUGCUUCUCUGAUGUUAGCGGCGGACGGGUGAGUAACACGUGGAUAACCUACCUAUAAGACUGGGAUAACUUCGGGAAACCGGAGCUAAUCCCGGAUAAUAUUUUGAACCUCAUGGUUCAAAAGUGAAAGACGGUCUUGCUGUCACUUAUAGAUGGAUCCGCGCUGCAUUAGCUAGUUGGUAAGGUAACGGCUUACCAAGGCAACGAUGCAUAGCCGACCUGAGAGGGUGAUCGGCCACACUGGAACUGAGACACGGUCCAGACUCCUACGGGAGGCAGCAGUAGGGAAUCUUCCGCAAUGGGCGAAAGCCUGACGGAGCAACGCCGCGUGAGUGAUGAAGGUCUUCGGAUCGUAAAACUCUGUUAUUAGGGAAGAACAUAUGUGUAAGUAACUGUGCACAUCUUGACGGUACCUAAUCAGAAAGCCACGGCUAACUACGUG